Molecule: non-coding RNA, 436 nt
Organism: Dermacentor albipictus
Lineage: Eukaryota; Metazoa; Arthropoda; Arachnida; Ixodida; Ixodidae
Source: RefSeq, a predicted model, not a curated record
GCAACAACAACUACAUCUUGUCCUAUAAAAGUUCCUGCUAAUGUUUCAUUUCUUUCUGUAUUUUUUGUUUCAGAAAGCGAGCUAGGAAACGAACCCCAGUAUCCAAAAAUUGAAAGUCGGGAACUUCCACAGAACUAUACUGUAGAGACGCACUUCAUCAUGGAUAUCAAUCACAGCGCCUACUUUGGGAAUGAAACGGAAGACCGUGUGGCCUAUGCAAUGUUAUUCAUGCACUCGGUGAGCCUUCGACUGCAGCAGCUCGAACCUCCCGCUCGGAUAGGGUUAACAGUAAUCGAAGGACUGCAGACCGUACAACCCUAUUUACAGCAACAUGAGGAUGGAAAUAUCAUGGUAGAUCAAACCUUGAAUGCAUUGGGCCAGUAUGCACACAAGAGCCCAACAUCAAAUAGGUCGGAUGUCACCUAUAUGGUAACAA